CAUUUAUAUUUUUCCUUUUUUUUUAACCGGCGUCCUAUGUUACUUUUCUAUAUGGAUUUUUCCCCUCUCUCAGGACGAACGCUGGCGGCGUGCUUAACACAUGCAAGUCGAGCGGUAAGGCCUUUCGGGGUACACGAGCGGCGAACGGGUGAGUAACACGUGGGUGAUCUGCCCUGCACUUCGGGAUAAGCCUGGGAAACUGGGUCUAAUACCGGAUAUGACCUCCUAUCGCAUGGUGGGUGGUGGAAAGAUUUAUCGGUGCAGGAUGGGCCCGCGGCCUAUCAGCUUGUUGGUGGGGUAAUGGCCUACCAAGGCGACGACGGGUAGCCGACCUGAGAGGGUGACCGGCCACACUGGGACUGAGACACGGCCCAGACUCCUACGGGAGGCAGCAGUGGGGAAUAUUGCACAAUGGGCGAAAGCCUGAUGCAGCGACGCCGCGUGAGGGAUGACGGCCUUCGGGUUGUAAACCUCUUUCAGCAGGGACGAAGCGCAAGUGACGGUACCUGCAGAAGAAGCACCGGCUAACUACGUGCCAGCAGCCGCGGUAAUACGUAGGGUGCAAGCGUUGUCCGGAAUUACUGGGCGUAAAGAGUUCGUAGGCGGUUUGUCGCGUCGUUUGUGAAAACCAGCAGCUCAACUGCUGGCUUGCAGGCGAUACGGGCAGACUUGAGUACUGCAGGGGAGACUGGAAUUCCUGGUGUAGCGGUGAAAUGCGCAGAUAUCAGGAGGAACACCGGUGGCGAAGGCGGGUCUCUGGGCAGUAACUGACGCUGAGGAACGAAAGCGUGGGUAGCGAACAGGAUUAGAUACCCUGGUAGUCCACGCCGUAAACGGUGGGCGCUAGGUGUGGGUUCCUUCCACGGAAUCCGUGCCGUAGCUAACGCAUAAGCGCCCCGCCUGGAUACCCCAAACCC
RNAcentral lists this ribosomal RNA (917 nucleotides) under Rhodococcus sp. (in: high G+C Gram-positive bacteria). Its description in RNAcentral is "bacterial SSU rRNA". It matches the Rfam family "Bacterial small subunit ribosomal RNA", at positions 1 to 889 of the family's 1533-position model. Lineage: Bacteria; Bacillati; Actinomycetota; Actinomycetes; Mycobacteriales; Nocardiaceae. The record is from RNAcentral.